GGGGAUUUGGCUCAGUGGUAGAGCGCUUGCCUAGCAAGCACAAGGCCCUGGGUUCGGUCCCCAGCUCCG
Non-coding RNA from Rattus norvegicus (Norway rat), 69 nucleotides. Lineage: Eukaryota; Metazoa; Chordata; Mammalia; Rodentia; Muridae. The record is from Rfam.